GCUAUCACUCCAGAAGUUGCCAUCGGUGUGUAUUCAUGCGUGUAACAUGGUUUUGGAGAAGCAAGCAAUGAUGAUACAGGGAUUGAUGUUGUUCGAAAAAAGAAGAAAUUCAUUGUAUCGAUUCAUUUUUGCAUGUAUUGUAGUGUUAUAUAUUCAUGUGUGUAACAUGUUUUCGGAGAAGCAAGCAAUAAUGAUCCAGGGAUUGAUGUUGUUCGAAAAAAGAAGAUAUUCAUUGUAUCGAUUCAUUUUUGCAUGUAUUGUAGUGUUGUCUAUUCAUGUGUGUAACAUGUUUUUGGAGAAGCAAGCAAUAAUGAUCCAGGGAUUGAUGUUGUUCGAAAA
This 339-nucleotide long non-coding RNA is filed under the name Musa acuminata (dwarf banana). Its description in RNAcentral is "long non-coding RNA (MACU_LNC001435)". Lineage: Eukaryota; Viridiplantae; Streptophyta; Magnoliopsida; Zingiberales; Musaceae. The record is from RNAcentral.